CCUCCUCACCUAAAAGUUGCGAGAUGCACUUGAUGCAGUGCCUACACAGAUAGUCUUGUCAUAGAGAGAAGAACGUAAGAGCCAAAAUGGGGCUAUAGCUCAGCUGGGAGAGCGCCUGAUUUGCAUUCAGGAGGUCAGCAGUUCGAUCCUGCUUAGCUCCACCAUUAGGCUUGUAGCUCAGCUGGUUAGAGCGCACCCCUGAUAAGGGUGAGGUCGGCAGUUCAAGUCUGCCCAAGCCUACCAAUUUUCCUUACUCGGCGUCAUAUAAACCCACAGAUACGAUUGGUAUUAGGUGGUGUGUUGUUGGUUAAGUGAGAAGUGGAUGAGUUGGGCUUUACGAGGGUCAUGGAAGUACUAAUGGAAUAAACACUUAGCGAGUGUGUAAUUUGAUUAAGUUGUUUUUACCACCUAAACCUGGUUCUUUUAACCAAUUUUGGAAAAGCUUGAAUAUUUAAAUUUAAAUCCAAAAACUUGGAAAAGGAGUUUCUUUGAAUUAAUAUAAAAAUUUCCUCCAAAAGUGG
Molecule: transfer RNA, 521 nt
Filed under: uncultured Pseudoalteromonas sp.
Lineage: Bacteria; Pseudomonadati; Pseudomonadota; Gammaproteobacteria; Alteromonadales; Pseudoalteromonadaceae
Description: partial 16S-23S ribosomal RNA intergenic spacer
Rfam family: tRNA (bases 167-240)
Source: RNAcentral